RNAcentral lists this ribosomal RNA (493 nucleotides) under uncultured bacterium. Its description in RNAcentral is "partial 16S ribosomal RNA". It matches the Rfam family "Bacterial small subunit ribosomal RNA", at positions 29 to 523 of the family's 1533-position model. The record is from RNAcentral.
AUUGAACGCUGGCGGCAUGCUUUACACGUGCAAGUCGAACGGUAACAGGUUAAGCUGACGAGUGGCGAACGGGUGAGUAAUGCAUCGGAACGUGCCCGAUCGUGGGGGAUAACGCAGCGAAAGCUGCGCUAAUACCGCAUCCGAUCUGAGGAUGAAAGCGGGGGACCGUAAGGCCUCGCGCGAUCGGAGCGGCCGAGGUCAGAUUGGCGCGUUGGUGGGGUAAAGGCUCACAAAGCCAACGAUCUGUAGCUGGUCCGAGAGAACGACCAGCCACACGGGGACUGAGACACGGCCCAGACUCCUACGGGAGGCAGCAGUGGGGAAUAUUUGACAAUGGGCGAAAGCCUGAUCCAGCAAUGCCGCGUGCAGGAAGAAGGCCUUCGGGUUGUAAACUGCUUUUGUACGGAGCGAAAAGGCCCUCUCUAAUACAGGGGGUUUAUGACGGUACCGUAAGAAUAAGCACCGGCUAACUACGUGCCAGCAGCCGCGGUAA